AUGGGGAACCCUGGUGCACUUCAUCGUUCUAUUACCUUACAAUCCUUAACUGUCUUCUCCCUUGUUGCAGUUUUUGCAGCAGAUCAUGUCCAGGGAGGAGAUGAUGGGUGCACACCUUUCUCGUGUGGACAUCUCCGAGACAUAUUGCCUCCUUUCCGUCGGCAAGGUGAUCCUCUUGAGUGCGGUAUUGAAGCAUAUGAGCUGGGUUGUACCAGUAGCAAGGCUACAAUUCACAUCAGCACAGGAACAUACUAUGUGACUGCCAUCAACUACACCGGUUCCUACUUCUGGGUCAUGGAUCCCAACUUCAAUACCAGUAGCAGCUGCCCACUUCCAUUGUGGAAUCAUGUUCCUUACUUUGGAUAUUACGGCGGCACUGAUUCAGUUUCACCACCUGGCUUUCGUUAUUUGAUCACUCAAAGCUACUACAGAGCAUGUUUUGCUAAUUGUUCACGACCAGUAACAGAUAAUAGUGCGUACAAGCCUGUUGCUUGCCUGAGUGCCAACAAUUCACAUGUUUAUGUCUGGGUGCCUACUACAGAUAAUUGUGCGGUUGACCUUCUUGAACCUUAUUGUGGAUACCUGGCCAAUAUUCCAUUUGGUAACGAGUUUGUUCCUGAUUGGCGCAUACACAAUGCAAGUUAUGCAGAUAUCACACAAGUCGUAAGUAAGGGGUUUACUGUCCAAUUUCCUGUGGACACCAUGGGGCCUUCUGUCUCUGUGAAGUUAAGAAAGAACAUCAAUAUAUGCCUCAACAAUUCAAUCAGCUACUUCAAGGAGCAAUCAUCUGGUGCAAGCAUCGUGAAUUGGACUCAUGUUUUCUUCUGGAGUGAAGUGCACUUCUUAGAAUGUGUGGCUCAGUACUCCAACGAUCACUACUACACAACACCGUUUCUUUUGGUUGUUGUGACCAUAUUAUCUGUGAUUGCUAUUCCCAAGUUCUUUUUCGUACUGUGCAGGUUCUUGUUGGCACCCCUGGCUGUGUGGAUAUUCCUAGCCUACAAGUACUUGAAAACAAGGAUCAUAAUUGAUGCAGUCGAGAAGUUCCUCAGGAUUCAACAAGUGAUUGGCCCUACGAGGUAUGCCUACACAAACAUCGUUGCAGUCACAAGCCAUUUCAGAGAUAAAUUGGGCCAAGGGGGCUACGGCUCCGUGUACAAGGGUGUGCUACUUCCAGGGGAUAUUCAUGUCGCCGUCAAGAUGCUAGAGGGCAACUCAAACUGCAAUGGAGAAGAUUUCAUCAGCGAGGUCUCCACCAUCGGCAGGAUCCACCACGUCAAUGUGGUGCGUUUAGUGGGGUUCUGCUCGGAGGAAAUGAGAAGGGCCUUAGUCUACGAGUACAUGCCCAAUGGUUCUCUGGACAAGUACAUCUUCUCUACCGAGAAGAGCUUCUCAUGGGACAAGCUCAACGACAUCGCUUUGGGCAUUGCCAGGGGGAUCAACUACUUACAUCAGGGGUGUGACAUGCAGAUUCUACACUUUGACAUCAAGCCGCACAACAUCCUUCUCGAUAGCAAUUUCGUCCCAAAGGUCGCCGAUUUCGGGCUUGCCAAACUGUACCCGAGGGGAGACAGUUUCGUGCCACUGAGCGCCAUGCGGGGGACUGUCGGCUACAUAGCCCCGGAGAUGAUAUCCCGGAGCUUUGGUGUCAUAUCUAGCAAAUCUGACGUCUACAGCUUCGGGAUGCUGCUGUUGGAGAUGGCUGGCGGGAGAAGGAACGCUGAUCCAAACAUGGGGUCCUCAAGCCAGGCGUACUACCCGUCAUGGGUGUACGCCAAGCUGACCCGGGAAGAAGCGGGCGAGGAGAUAUCACCUGUUGCUGCCGACAUGCACGAACUGGAGAAGAAGCUGUGUGUUGUCGGAUUAUGGUGUAUUCAGAUGAGGUCUUGCGAUCGGCCAACAAUGGGCGAGGUCAUUGAGAUUCUGGAGGCUGGGACCGACAGCCUGCAGAUGCCUUCAAGACCAUUUUUCUGCGACGAAGGGCACAUCCAUGUGGAGGACUCUUAUCAUUUCACUUCCGAGCUGACAGUGGUGUCAGAGGAGGAAUCGACUGCGGUGUCAGAGGAAGACAAUGUGUGA
Molecule: ribosomal RNA, 2079 nt
Filed under: Triticum aestivum (bread wheat)
Lineage: Eukaryota; Viridiplantae; Streptophyta; Magnoliopsida; Poales; Poaceae
Description: partial small subunit ribosomal RNA
Source: RNAcentral